RNAcentral lists this ribosomal RNA (484 nucleotides) under uncultured bacterium. RNAcentral describes it as "partial 16S ribosomal RNA". It matches the Rfam family "Bacterial small subunit ribosomal RNA", at positions 30 to 507 of the family's 1533-position model. The record is from RNAcentral.
AUUGAACGCUGGCGGCAGGCCUAACACAUGCAAGUCGAGCGAACGAAGGGGGGUUACUCCUGGAUGCAGCGGCGGCCGGGUGGGUAAUGCCUAGGAGUCUGGCUGGUCGUGGGGGAUCACGUCCGGAAACGGGAGCUGAUCUCGCAUAGGACCAGAGGGCGAAAGUGGGGGGUCUUCCGUCUUAACGGUUUGUGAUGUGACUUAUUGGGAUUAGCUAGUUGGUGGGGUUAAGGCGUAACAAGGCGUCUUACGUAACCUGGCCUGAGAGGAUGAUCCGAUAGACGGGAACUGAGACACGGUCCAGACUCCGACGGUGGGCAGCAGUGGGGAAUAUUGCGCGAUGGGCGAAAGCCUGAUCCAGCCAUGCCGCGUGAGUGAUGAAGGUCUUCGGAUUGUAAAACACUGUAAGUAGGGAGGAAGGGAAGUACUUUAAUCCCUGGCGAUUUUGACGGUACCAACAGAAGAAGCACCGGCUAACUUCGUG